UAGGGCGUGACCAAGCGGUAAGGCGGCGGGUUUUGGUCUAGUUAUUUGGAGGUUCAAAUCCUUCCAUCCCAG
This 72-nucleotide transfer RNA is filed under the name Zingiber officinale. Its description in RNAcentral is "tRNA-Gln". It matches the Rfam family "tRNA". From Rfam's summary of the family: Transfer RNA (tRNA) molecules are approximately 80 nucleotides in length. Their secondary structure includes four short double-helical elements and three loops (D, anti-codon, and T loops). Lineage: Eukaryota; Viridiplantae; Streptophyta; Magnoliopsida; Zingiberales; Zingiberaceae. The record is from RNAcentral.